RNAcentral lists this ribosomal RNA (459 nucleotides) under uncultured bacterium. RNAcentral's name for it is "partial 16S ribosomal RNA". It matches the Rfam family "Bacterial small subunit ribosomal RNA", at positions 338 to 795 of the family's 1533-position model. The record is from RNAcentral.
CCUACGGGCGGCAGCAGUGAGGAAUAUUGGUCAAUGGACGCGAGUCUGAACCAGCCAAGUAGCGUGAAGGAUGACUGCCCUACGGGUUGUAAACUUCUUUUAUAAGGGAAUAAAGUGUGGCACGUGUGCCCUUUUGUAUGUACCUUAUGAAUAAGGAUCGGCUAACUCCGUGCCAGAAGCCGCGGUAAGACGGAGGAUCCGAGCGUUAUCCGGAUUUAUUGGGUUUAAAGGGAGCGUAGAGGGGUUGUUAAGUCAGUUGUAAAAGUUUGCGGGGCAACCUUUUCGAGCCGUUGAAACUGGCGGUCUGGAGUGCGAGUGAAGUAGGCGGAAUGCGUGGUGUAGCGGUGAAAUGCUUAGAUAUCACGCAGAACUCCGAUUGCGAAGGCAGCAUACCGGAGCGCAACUGACGUUGAUGCACGAAAGUGUGGGUAUCGAACAGGAUUAGAUACCCCGGUAGUC